Molecule: ribosomal RNA, 253 nt
Filed under: uncultured bacterium
Lineage: Bacteria
Description: partial 16S ribosomal RNA
Rfam family: Bacterial small subunit ribosomal RNA
Source: RNAcentral
GACGAACCGUCCAAACGUUACUCGGAAUCACUGGGCUUAAAGGGUGCGUAGGCGGCCUGGUAAGUUGGGUGUGAAAGCCCUCGGCUCAACCGAGGAAUUGCGCCCAAUACUGUCGGGCUUGAGGAAGAUAGAGGUGAGCGGAACUAAGGGUGGAGCGGUGAAAUGCGUUGAUAUCCUUAGGAACACCAGUAGCGAAAGCGGCUCACUGGGUCUUUUCUGACGCUGAGGCAAGAAAGCUAGGGGAGCGAACGGG